ACCAGAUACAGCUGCGAGUAUUCUACUCAACCACUGUCAUGAGUCAUGGACUCAUGGCCAAUGCUCACGACGCAACCCCCAAAUUCCGCCACCACCGUCCUGGUAGAGGCAGACUCGUCGUAGCCGCGUAAUAUUCUACCCCACCUGCCGUUGUACCACCUCUACCACGACUAGUACCAGGGCCGAGGGGGGACUCAGUCACAGCGAAGAAGGGUUUGUCUUGUCGGCCUUCGCUGCCACCUCCUCCCCCGCCACCGCGCCCACCUUCUCCGACGCUCGGCUCCUCCGCGCCCUCCCCGCCGUCUCCGCGCGCCCUCCGGCGAGCCUGCGGGUCGGCGACGCCCUCGCCGGACCCCCGAGGGAGGCGGGCUCCCGGCCUGCUGAGCCCUGCCAGCAGGGCUGCUGCCGCCGCCGCCGGAUCGCUGGCACGGCCGCCCCGAUCCGCGAGGACUAGAGCCGCCGCCCGCGGAUUUGCUACAAGUUCUUCAGCGGUGCGGAAACCAUUCUGCUAACAAGUUCCAUCGCCGCCAAAAGAUACUGACAGCCCCCAUGGCAAAGCCCGGCAUUCUAGGCCGGAGCAGCAGCAUGCCAAGAUCAAAUGAAGGCAUGAGGCUCGUAUUCUCAGCAGUUAUCGGUAUUAUGCUAGGUUACUUGUUUGGGAUAUCCUUCCCUACAGUCAAUAUAACCAAGCUUCAUUUCCCUUCCAGUAUUGUUUCCUAUAUUGAAGAUAGAAACUCCGGAAUCACAACCCAAACAUUGUUGAACCAUGCAUGGACAUCUGCAAACAGUCACAAGAAGAACAAUUCUGAUUCCAAGUCUGAUGAAAUUCCUAAGAUUUAUGUUACCUCAAACCCUAAAGGUGCUGAAAGGCUCCCACCAGGUAUUGUCGUAUCUGAAACAGACCUCUAUCUGCGAAGAUUGUGGGGUGAACCUAGUGAGGAUCUUACUAUCCAGCCAAAGUACCUUGUUACAUUUACAGUUGGAAUCGCGCAAAAGGCAAAUAUUGAUGCAGCAGUCAAAAAGUUCUCGGAGAACUUCACAAUUAUGUUGUUCCACUAUGAUGGUCGGACUACUGAAUGGGAUGAAUUUGAGUGGUCAAAAAGGGCCAUCCAUGUGAGUGUUAGCAAGCAAACUAAGUGGUGGUAUGCCAAGAGAUUUUUACAUCCUGAUGUCGUUGCCCGGUAUGACUACAUAUUUAUCUGGGAUGAGGAUCUAGGUGUUCAACAUUUCAAUGCAGAGGAGUACAUCAAGCUUGUUAGGAAGCAUGGGCUGGAGAUCUCUCAACCUGGUUUGGAACCUGAUAGAGGUCUGACAUGGCAAAUGACUAAGCGGCGUGGUGAUCGAGAAGUUCACAAAGUAACCGAGGAGAGGCCAGGCUGGUGUUCUGACCCCCAUCUGCCACCGUGUGCAGCAUUCGUAGAAAUUAUGGCAACUGUGUUCUCUAGGGAUGCAUGGCGCUGUGUAUGGCAUAUGAUCCAGAACGACUUGAUCCAUGGAUGGGGUCUUGAUUUUGCUCUUAGGAAAUGUGUGGAGCCGGCUCAUGAAAAAAUUGGAGUUGUUGAUGCUCAAUGGAUUGUUCAUCAGGGUGUUCCAUCACUUGGCAACCAGGGCAAGUCGGAGAAUGGAAGAGCACCAUGGGAAGGGGUAAGAGGACGGUGUAGAAAAGAGUGGGGGAUAUUCCAGGCAAGGCUGGCCGAUGCCGAGAAGAAGUAUUACUUGGAUCAAGGGAUCACGCCACCAAAUUCGACUUCAGUCUAGACGAAAUCACACGGUGCACAGGAACCAUAUUAGGUUUCUGUUCAGGAAACCUGGCCCUUACGUGCUCAGUAUCGUUCAUGAAAAUAGCAGCUGCCUACUAGUAUAGCUGAAGCUCCGGGGCCAGAUCUGUACAUGGGUUACCCACUUACCACGACGACCAUCAAG
Molecule: ribosomal RNA, 1923 nt
Filed under: Triticum aestivum (bread wheat)
Lineage: Eukaryota; Viridiplantae; Streptophyta; Magnoliopsida; Poales; Poaceae
Description: partial small subunit ribosomal RNA
Source: RNAcentral